Molecule: ribosomal RNA, 539 nt
Filed under: Acinetobacter baumannii
Lineage: Bacteria; Pseudomonadati; Pseudomonadota; Gammaproteobacteria; Moraxellales; Moraxellaceae
Description: bacterial SSU rRNA
Rfam family: Bacterial small subunit ribosomal RNA
Source: RNAcentral
CACAUGCAAGUCGAGCGGAGAGAGGUAGCUUGCUACUGAUCUUAGCGGCGGACGGGUGAGUAAUGCUUAGGAAUCUGCCUAUUAGUGGGGGACAACAUUUCGAAAGGAAUGCUAAUACCGCAUACGUCCUACGGGAGAAAGCAGGGGAUCUUCGGACCUUGCGCUAAUAGAUGAGCCUAAGUCGGAUUAGCUAGUUGGUGGGGUAAAGGCCUACCAAGGCGACGAUCUGUAGCGGGUCUGAGAGGAUGAUCCGCCACACUGGGACUGAGACACGGCCCAGACUCCUACGGGAGGCAGCAGUGGGGAAUAUUGGACAAUGGGCGCAAGCCUGAUCCAGCCAUGCCGCGUGUGUGAAGAAGGCCUUAUGGUUGUAAAGCACUUUAAGCGAGGAGGARGCUACUUUUAGUUAAUACCUAARAGAUAGUGGACGUUACCUUCGCARAAUAAGCACCGGCUUAACYUUGUGCCAAGCAGCCCGCGGUAAUWACCAGAAGGGUGCAAAGCCGUUAAAUCGGAAUUUAACUGGGCCGUAAAAAGCC